GAUGAAGAACGCAGCGAAAUGCGAUACGUAAUGUGAAUUGCAAAUUCAGUGAAUCAUCGAGUCUUUGAACGCACAUUGCGCCCCCUGGUAUUCCGGGGGGCAUGCCUGUCCGAGCGUCAUUGCUGCCCUCAAGCACGGCUUGUGUGUUGGGCCCCGUCCUCCGAUCCCGGGGGACGGGCCCGAAAGGCAGCGGCGGCACCGCGUCCGGUCCUCGAGCGUAUGGGGCUUUGUCACCCGCUCUGUAGGCCCGGCCGGCGCUUGCCGAUCAACCCAAAUUUUUAUCCAGGUUGACCUCGGAUCAGGUAGGGAUACCCGCUGAACUUAAGCAUAUCAAUAAACGGAGGA
RNAcentral lists this unclassified non-coding RNA (345 nucleotides) under soil metagenome. RNAcentral describes it as "partial contains 5.8S ribosomal RNA, internal transcribed spacer 2, and large subunit ribosomal RNA". The stretch from base 1 to 119 matches the Rfam family "5.8S ribosomal RNA", at positions 35 to 154 of the family's 154-position model. The record is from RNAcentral.